GGUUAAGCGACUAAGCGUACACGGUGGAUGCCCUGGCAGUCAGAGGCGAUGAAGGACGUGCUAAUCUGCGAUAAGCGUCGGUAAGGUGAUAUGAACCGUUAUAACCGGCGAUUUCCGAAUGGGGAAACCCAGUGUGAUUCGUCACACUAUCAUUAACUGAAUCCAUAGGUUAAUGAGGCGAACCGGGGGAACUGAAACAUCUAAGUACCCCGAGGAAAAGAAAUCAACCGAGAUUCCCCCAGUAGCGGCGAGCGAACGGGGAGGAGCCCAGAGCCUGAAUCAGUGUGUGUGUUAGUGGAAGCGUCUGGAAAGGCGCGCGAUACAGGGUGACAGCCCCGUACACAAAAAUGCACAUGCUGUGAGCUCGAUGAGUAGGGCGGGACACGUGGUAUCCUGUCUGAAUAUGGGGGGACCAUCCUCCAAGGCUAAAUACUCCUGACUGACCGAUAGUGAACCAGUACCGUGAGGGAAAGGCGAAAAGAACCCCGGCGAGGGGAGUGAAAAAGAACCUGAAACCGUGUACGUACAAGCAGUGGGAGCACGCUUAGGCGUGUGACUGCGUACCUUUUGUAUAAUGGGUCAGCGACUUAUAUUCUGUAGCAAGGUUAACCGAAUAGGGGAGCCGAAGGGAAACCGAGUCUUAACUGGGCGUUAAGUUGCAGGGUAUAGACCCGAAACCCGGUGAUCUAGCCAUGGGCAGGUUGAAGGUUGGGUAACACUAACUGGAGGACCGAACCGACUAAUGUUGAAAAAUUAGCGGAUGACUUGUGGCUGGGGGUGAAAGGCCAAUCAAACCGGGAGAUAGCUGGUUCUCCCCGAAAGCUAUUUAGGUAGCGCCUCGUGAAUUCAUCUCCGGGGGUAGAGCACUGUUUCGGCAAGGGGGUCAUCCCGACUUACCAACCCGAUGCAAACUGCGAAUACCGGAGAAUGUUAUCACGGGAGACACACGGCGGGUGCUAACGUCCGUCGUGAAGAGGGAAACAACCCAGACCGCCAGCUAAGGUCCCAAAGUCAUGGUUAAGUGGGAAACGAUGUGGGAAGGCCCAGACAGCCAGGAUGUUGGCUUAGAAGCAGCCAUCAUUUAAAGAAAGCGUAAUAGCUCACUGGUCGAGUCGGCCUGCGCGGAAGAUGUAACGGGGCUAAACCAUGCACCGAAGCUGCGGCAGCGACGCUGAUGCGUUGUUGGGUAGGGGAGCGUUCUGUAAGCCUGCGAAGGUGUGCUGUGAGGCAUGCUGGAGGUAUCAGAAGUGCGAAUGCUGACAUAAGUAACGAUAAAGCGGGUGAAAAGCCCGCUCGCCGGAAGACCAAGGGUUCCUGUCCAACGUUAAUCGGGGCAGGGUGAGUCGACCCCUAAGGCGAGGCCGAAAGGCGUAGUCGAUGGGAAACAGGUUAAUAUUCCUGUACUUGGUGUUACUGCGAAGGGGGGACGGAGAAGGCUAUGUUGGCCGGGCGACGGUUGUCCCGGUUUAAGCGUGUAGGCUGGUUUUCCAGGCAAAUCCGGAAAAUCAAGGCUGAGGCGUGAUGACGAGGCACUACGGUGCUGAAGCAACAAAUGCCCUGCUUCCAGGAAAAGCCUCUAAGCAUCAGGUAACAUCAAAUCGUACCCCAAACCGACACAGGUGGUCAGGUAGAGAAUACCAAGGCGCUUGAGAGAACUCGGGUGAAGGAACUAGGCAAAAUGGUGCCGUAACUUCGGGAGAAGGCACGCUGAUAUGUAGGUGAAGCGACUUGCUCGUGGAGCUGAAAUCAGUCGAAGAUACCAGCUGGCUGCAACUGUUUAUUAAAAACACAGCACUGUGCAAACACGAAAGUGGACGUAUACGGUGUGACGCCUGCCCGGUGCCGGAAGGUUAAUUGAUGGGGUUAGCGCAAGCGAAGCUCUUGAUCGAAGCCCCGGUAAACGGCGGCCGUAACUAUAACGGUCCUAAGGUAGCGAAAUUCCUUGUCGGGUAAGUUCCGACCUGCACGAAUGGCGUAAUGAUGGCCAGGCUGUCUCCACCCGAGACUCAGUGAAAUUGAACUCGCUGUGAAGAUGCAGUGUACCCGCGGCAAGACGGAAAGACCCCGUGAACCUUUACUAUAGCUUGACACUGAACAUUGAGCCUUGAUGUGUAGGAUAGGUGGGAGGCUUUGAAGUGUGGACGCCAGUCUGCAUGGAGCCGACCUUGAAAUACCACCCUUUAAUGUUUGAUGUUCUAACGUGGACCCGUAAUCCGGGUUGCGGACAGUGUCUGGUGGGUAGUUUGACUGGGGCGGUCUCCUCCUAAAGAGUAACGGAGGAGCACGAAGGUUGGCUAAUCCUGGUCGGACAUCAGGAGGUUAGUGCAAUGGCAUAAGCCAGCUUGACUGCGAGCGUGACGGCGCGAGCAGGUGCGAAAGCAGGUCAUAGUGAUCCGGUGGUUCUGAAUGGAAGGGCCAUCGCUCAACGGAUAAAAGGUACUCCGGGGAUAACAGGCUGAUACCGCCCAAGAGUUCAUAUCGACGGCGGUGUUUGGCACCUCGAUGUCGGCUCAUCACAUCCUGGGGCUGAAGUAGGUCCCAAGGGUAUGGCUGUUCGCCAUUUAAAGUGGUACGCGAGCUGGGUUUAGAACGUCGUGAGACAGUUC
Molecule: ribosomal RNA, 2606 nt
Filed under: Escherichia coli
Lineage: Bacteria; Pseudomonadati; Pseudomonadota; Gammaproteobacteria; Enterobacterales; Enterobacteriaceae
Description: partial 23S ribosomal RNA
Rfam family: Bacterial large subunit ribosomal RNA
Source: RNAcentral